Molecule: long non-coding RNA, 3040 nt
Filed under: Carassius auratus (goldfish)
Lineage: Eukaryota; Metazoa; Chordata; Actinopteri; Cypriniformes; Cyprinidae
Description: lncRNA (ENSCARG00000052377.1)
Source: RNAcentral
AUAGGCCUACUGAAGUAGCCAGGCAAUAACGGUCAUAGCAGACAUGAUAAUUUAACUGAUAACAGCAGGUUAUCCAAUAUGGUUCCUGUAGAUUAAGGUAAUUUAUAAUAAAAUGUGAAGACAAUUUGUAGUUAAAUCAUAGAUGGUAAUUAAACCGUAAAUCUAAUUUAUAUGUUCUGUGUAGUAUGUCCCCCUUAAACCUGUCAAUUACCAUUACAAAUCAACUUGCGUAUUGUAAAUAAUAGUAGUAAAACAGCAUAUUAAAAAAAAAAAAAACGUUUUAAGGUUAGAACCGUUUUGACUCCUCCCUCCCUUGCCUCACAGAUGUUUGGUUCACUGCCUGCUUUACCGCUUUACCUAUGGUCAUUACACACGAGUCCGUUGCUUUGGUGGGAGAGAACAGAGUGCUUCAGUAGUUGUGCACCUGAGGCUGUCAGGAUUUCCUCAGCCAUCUUCCUACGUAGUGCCUCCAUAUUGGUCACAGAAGUAUUGAUGUCCAACUGGGAUGGAACUUUUGGGAAACUAGAGACAACCUCCUUUGCCAUUUUUGAACAAUAGUUGUAGUGAAAUGAAGGAAAUAAUUAUAUUUAGUGUCUCAACUUUAAUGCUUACCAUUUGAGCAGAAAAUACCUGCAUGACAAGUACUCCACAGCUAUGUGAAUCCUGCUGCCUUGUGUGCGUAAUUGUGGCCCCUCUCCACUUAAUGUCCAUCCACUCUUUUUUGCUAUGGCGAACGAACCUCAUUCUGAAGUAUUGACUUGUAUGACAAAUAAAUAUAUGACAGUUAGGGGUAAUACAGUUAAAGUAAUUAAGAGUAACUAGAUCUGGCCAUAAUGCUUUUAUUUUAGCAGUUUUGUUUUUACCGAAAUCUGACUGCAGCUUGCUUAGAGUCCUCCUCCUCAUCAAUUCCUUGUGGAUCUAUAAGGAAAACUUUACUGGAAGAUGCAUGUAGAUACUAGAAGAAAAAAAAAACACUAUUUAAAACUACAGUUCAGCUUUGAUCACAUAACUAUGAAGAAGGACUAUUUUGAAAGCUUUCACCAAAAACUUCCAGUGGUUUCCAUGUACAUUUAUGAAACUGAUAAGUGCUUGAUAUUUUCCAUAGUCCACCUGAAAUGUAGAUAUUGUAACAUUAUUAAAUAUUUUUAAACAUGGUUUCAUAUCUUCAAUGUACAACAAUAGAAAUACCUUUGGCAGACUCCGCUGACACACAUCAUCUCGGUUUCCAGACAGAAUCACACCAGCAGAAAAAUGAUUCAUGAGGUAAAUGCUACCAUCUUUACCCAUUUUAUUUAAUAAGGUUUGCAAGUAACAUUCUAUUACCGUAAUGAAAAAGCACAUUUAAAUAAGAAAUACACAAAACAUGCCUAUUACACAAAAAGGUAACAAUAUUACUGGUGUGCUUUGGCAAUUUAUAUCAUGCAAGUUUGAAAUGCUAAUAGCUCAUGAAUAUUCUUGCCUCUCCCAUGAGCCACUUGUGAGGUUGCAGAGUUUUGAACUCUGAGUGAUGGAGGGUGUACCUAGCCUUUUUUGCUGCUGAUGGUACAACAGCAACCACCACUUCACAAUCGUUUUUGCUCCAAAGGUACUGAAUCUGCAAGUAAUCAUUUUAUUGUAAGUAAAAUUAUUGAAAUUAUUUGUAUAAAUGUAUAUUAAUAUGAUCUACUACCUCUUCUGUUGUGUCUUCAGCAGUAUGUUCUGUGUUAUCUGGCUCAGUAUUGUACUCUGGUUCGGGUUUGUGUUUUGUUUUUGACAGGUCCAUUGCUGUGUCUGGAAUCAUCUGGAUGGUAUUGGUGCUGAUCUGUGUAACUUCUGGACUUUGUGAUGGCUGUGGCAGUACUUCAGGUGGGUCAAAGUAUUUUGUUUUAUGUCUGUCCUUGUCCUUUCUUGAUGUUUUCUGUGCCCAUUCUUCUUUCUGGCUGAAGAACUUUUCUUUAGGUUCUGGAUCACGGUAAGGCAGUAACAGAUUGUUGUUAAUUAUGUGUUCUUUGUAUCUGCCUUGGAGAGAUCCAUACAUGUUCUGUAUGAAGUCAGCAGGACGCAGGUACUUCUUCUUUUUAAGGAUGCUGUGUUUAACAAUCCAAAACCACUGUUCCACAUGACAGUUACUUUCCCUUGUUUUGGAUUGUUGGCUGACUGUAGCUGUGCUGAUUUCAGAAAACCGGCUAAGAUCCCCAAGAAGAACUCCACUCCACAGCGGGAAGAUACUCAUGUAGUUGUUCAUGAGGAAGUCGACGAGCUCUGGACAGAAAAAGGUAUUUUUUCCCCCUGUCUUGCUACUGAAGUGGAGGCUCUUGGCUCUGUUCAAAACUGCAGUGAACAGUGAUGUAAAUGGUGAUCUGCCACACACUGAAGUUACAUUUUCAUCUGUUUCUGUUGCCUCUGGUAUCGUUUGUGCCUCAUAAAGGUUAAUUGUGCUCUUCAUUAUUUUUAGAUCCAGGGCAGUUUUGGCUGCAUUCACCACGUCGGUCUCCUCUUCUGAUGUGAAAAGAACAGCCAUAUCUUCAAAUACAGCUGUUGCCUCUUCUAGAUGUGUGCUGUUUAACAACAAGGCAAAGCAGUAGGUGGCAUACUCCUUUAAAGCCUUGUUGUCAGUCUUUUUUGAAAAUGCCUGACACACUGCCUUAACAAUAUGUGAAGAGCAAAGAUGUAAGACUGUAAAUUGAAGAUCACCACUGUUUGCCUUGUUCAAAACAAUGCGGUGGGCUCGUUGUAAAUACAGCAAAAUGCUUUCUUUGUUGAAUGCCAGAAGGACACUUGAAAUUAGUCCCCAACUGAAGUCCGUCUCCACUUGAUGGACAUGGCAUGAUGUUAUUUGACCAAGAGCCCUUAAUGUUUGCAUCAGCCAGUAUGUCAAGGUUGGAAUUGAGUGCUGAUUUGAUACAAGCUCACUAACUGGUAGUGGCGGCAUGUUUUUGCCCAUUCCUGGCAGUACAAGUGCAUAGUAGAGCACUCUUUUGGGCUGACUGGUAAUGCGGGAGAUAACGCUACCUGUGGCAUCCAGGUGAAGUGUUACUGGUUUUUUUUUUUUAAGAUGCUG